CUCUGGGUAAACCUAUUUUAAAUCAAUGGCGGAUAAUUCAAAUUGGGUCAUAUUAGGGGUGUAAACUGUUCAUGUAGAUCAAUUUUUUUAUGUUUGCUAUCAUACCAGACAAUUUCCACCAUAUAAACCAACUAACAUGUUAUAUUUAUGUUGGUGUUUGUUGAAUAUGUUUGUUCAAAUGACUGACCUAUGGUUGACAAUAAAAUACCUUAAUGCAAACCUAAAAAAGGGGGGUGGUAGUGACAUAAUUUUUUUUUUUUUUUUUUUUUUUUUUGCACAAAAAAUUAAGAAAUAGAGAGGCACUAAAAUCAAAGAAUUUUGGGAUGGAUACUACAAAUGAUUUUCUUUAAAUACAG
RNAcentral lists this long non-coding RNA (356 nucleotides) under Mytilus galloprovincialis (Mediterranean mussel). The record is from RNAcentral. Lineage: Eukaryota; Metazoa; Mollusca; Bivalvia; Mytilida; Mytilidae.